AAAGUCGUAACAAGGUUUCCGUAGGUGAACCUGCGGAAGGAUCAUUACUGAAUUAUGAAAGUUCAUACGAUGAAAGUUUAUUCUGAAUCAUAUGAACUGUCUAAUUUCAUCUCUUUGUUAUUUAUAUGUCCAAGUUGCUUUGGCAAUUCUAUUUCCUUUUUGUGAAGAGAAUAUAGUUGCCAAAAUUGAUUUUUCUUAUCACUUUUGUUUUAACAAUUGGGUUUAAUUAUAAUGUCUAAAUGUUUUUUUUUCUUUAUUAAAAGAUAAUAAAACUUUCAACAACGGAUCUCUUGGUUCUG
RNAcentral lists this unclassified non-coding RNA (299 nucleotides) under Ascomycota sp. Its description in RNAcentral is "partial contains small subunit ribosomal RNA, internal transcribed spacer 1, and 5.8S ribosomal RNA". The stretch from base 1 to 47 matches the Rfam family "Eukaryotic small subunit ribosomal RNA", at positions 1785 to 1831 of the family's 1831-position model. Lineage: Eukaryota; Fungi; Ascomycota. The record is from RNAcentral.